GCGAUCGUAGUUCAACGGUUAGAAUGGGGGACUGUGGAUCCCCAGAUCGGGGUUCGAUUCCCCGCGAUUGCC
Molecule: transfer RNA, 72 nt
Filed under: archaeon
Lineage: Archaea
Description: tRNA-His
Rfam family: tRNA
About the family: Transfer RNA (tRNA) molecules are approximately 80 nucleotides in length.
Source: RNAcentral